CCGGUGUACGAGUCACAAACGAUUGGAGCCUAUCACGGUGGAAGGCCACGAAAGAGUGUUCAAAGCACUUUCACGCUUCUCAACUUAAUAAUGGUUUGGUUGAGGGUUUUUAGGUCUCAUCACAUAUAAAUAUUCAUUUUAAUCUUUAUUAAAACAAUUUUGAUCCUAUUACAACUAUUGGCCCAUUUGAUUGAAUUUAGUUGUAUAUAAUACUCCCACUAUGCUUAUAAAACGGUUUUUAAAGCAAGAGUAUAUGAUACUACUAACAUAAACUUUGCAUUCAUUUGAUGGACUAUAUAGUUGCCUUAGGGCCUUAGGAUGACUAUGAACCUUUGAUUCGAUCCAACACGAGCCUAGUGUUGAAUCUCGGUCUAGGGAUGGUGAUUGAUUUUAGUUACGCGUUUAAUCACAUUAAGGUGUGUUGUCUUAGGGGCGUUGGACCCUCUACUCCAUUUUCAUGCAUAUCAAAUAAUACAAGAAAGGAGUACUUCAAAGUAAAGAUGAGCUUAUGCUCUUUACAACAUUUGAAUAAAACAAAUUACUUUAAAGUAAAGAAGAGCUUAUGCUCUUUUACAACAUUUGAUCAAAUCAAAUUACAACCAAAAUCUAAUCUACACAUUCCCAUGGUUCAAACAAAUUUGAAACGGCCUUUCACAUAGCUCAAUUAUCGUAGGCUUAGGUUCAUAAUCACCCUUUAAUUAAUUAACACUUUAACUAAUUAAUUGAAUGUAACAUUUUCAUUUGGUUUUUGUAUCCAUAAAAUUUAUUUAAAUGGAGCUAAAUGGAAUGAAAAUCCAAUUCUCAUUUAAAGAGACAAAACAAUUUUGUUCUCAACUUAAUUUGGGCCAAAAUGCAAUAACCUCAACUUUUGGGCUAUAUUGCAAAAACUUAAACUUUUGGGGUCACUUUGUAAAAACACAAAACUCCACUACUUCAUGUAAUCACAACUAGAACCCAAAAAUUUCAACAAAUUGAAAAACAUCAUUAAAGGAACAAAACAAUUUGUCCUUUAGCGUUUUUGGACCUAAACGUAAAAACGUAAACUUUUGGGCCAAAGUGCAAAUACACAAAAGUAUCAAAACUUUAUGUAAUUGCAUAAAAGCCCCAAAAGUACCCUAUUUUAAUAGGGUGGCCGGUUUUAGAUAGAAGGGAGUGAUGUGUGUGUUGAUUUGUAGUUUUAGACAUAAAGCAUGCAAGUGGUGCAUGACAUAAAUGUCAUGCAAGUGGUGUGUGUGAAAGGGAAUUAAUCCUUACACACCCACCAAUAUUUCUUACACCUUUCUAAAUAAAUAUCUAAUACAUUUAAACAUAUGAAAAACAUAAAACAUAAACUUUAUGAAAUAAAUCAAAACUUUGAAUCAAAACACCAAACUUUUUGUUAUUGGCAAAAAUGUCAAGAACAAUGAAGAACACUCAUGAAAAACUCAAAAAAUUUCCAUGAACA
This 1444-nucleotide long non-coding RNA is filed under the name Malus domestica (apple). Its description in RNAcentral is "long non-coding RNA (MDOM_LNC018609)". The record is from RNAcentral. Lineage: Eukaryota; Viridiplantae; Streptophyta; Magnoliopsida; Rosales; Rosaceae.